Megalops atlanticus (tarpon) is the source of this 83-nucleotide non-coding RNA. The record is from the annotation of a GenBank genome assembly. NCBI's taxonomy places the organism in Eukaryota, Metazoa, Chordata, Actinopteri, Elopiformes, Megalopidae.
GGUAGUGUGGCCAAGUGGUCUAAGGCGCUGGAUUUUAGGCUCCAGGCUCUCUAGCGGCAUGGGUUCAAAUCCCACUGCUGCCA